This is a long non-coding RNA of Eleginops maclovinus (Patagonian blennie), 951 nucleotides long. RefSeq lists it as uncharacterized. The transcript has 3 exons. The record is from RefSeq and is a predicted model, not a curated record. NCBI's taxonomy places the organism in Eukaryota, Metazoa, Chordata, Actinopteri, Perciformes, Eleginopidae.
GUUCAUGUAAUCUGAGGCUGACACCCUGUUCCCCAUAAACAGCCUGUGAGUCUCUGCUAGGGUGAAGGUGUUCAGUGCUCUGCUCUAACAAAAGUCUACUCUACAAAAAGAAAAGAUUCGACCCGACAGAGAGGCGACUCUGAAAGCAAAGGCUCUGUCCUCAAACUAUUGUACUCCACUUGACUUUUGUUGGGAAAAAAACAAAACAAGCAUCAUGGGAAAAGGUGAAAGUGAGGAGUGGGAUGAGAAGAGCCACGACACGAGGCAGUCUCAGCCCCGGAGAUACGAGGAGACAGAGACUAAAAGCUCAGGGACGAAGUGUCCUGCAUGCUGCUUGAAGACAAGGAACUGUCUGAUGAGUGCAGAGUGCGGCCGGGCACUUCAGAUCUCCAGUGUCGUCGCCUGGUGCGGCAUGUGCAUCCGCAUGUUCGUAUGACCUGACCUUGGGCAUCAUACCCUGCUUUUCCAGGAUCAUCAUCACUCACUCUUUAUAAAAGUGAUGCCAAGAGGUUUUCUUCAAAUCUGCUAAAAGUUGUCUUUCAAAUUCUUUAACCACAAAUUAUUCAUUUCACAUGAUUACUGUCCGUAUAUAGAACAGCUCAGAAAGUCAUUAUGAAAGAAUGAAUGAAUGAAUGGAUGGAUGAUUGAGCGUGUUUGAUUGAUCAUUUCUGAUGGAUAUGUAUUAUGUAAAAUCAGAUGUCUAUAUUUAUAUUUUUAGGUAAGAAAUUUGCAAAAAUAAUAUAAAAAAUAAUAUGAUGAAUAUAAUAGUAAUAAUGUUAAAUGAGUAUGACAUGAACUUGAGAAUGUUAUACUUUAUGCUACAGUGGAAAAUAUGUUCUCUUACAAUAUGAGUAAGAUGGUUUUGGUGAAAAAACAUUGACAUAUCUGAACUAAAACAACAUUUUGAAUAAAGCUUCAAGUAACAACAAGAAAAAAAAGUGUUUCAUUUAA